GAAGACAUGAAGKUAGGUCAGCAAACCCGCUGAAUUUAAGCAUAUAAGUAAGSGGRGGAAAAGAAACUAAAUAGGAYUCCCUCAGUAWUGGCGAAUGAACAGGGAUGASCUCAGUAUGRAAAUUGGGGCCUGUGGCCUUGAAUUGUAAUCUGGAGWUGUACCMCCAACUGGGGSGCAGAUGUAAGCCUCUUGGAAAAGAGCAUCAAUGAGGGURAGAGUCCCGCUUGGCAUCUGCAGUCCCCAGUGCACGGUGUACCUUCUAAGAGUCACGUUCCUCGGGAUUGGAGCGCAAAUCGGGUGGUAAGUUUCAUCUAAAGCUAAAUAUAGUUUCGAGACCGAUAGCAAACAAGUACCAUGAGGGAAAGGUGAAAAGGACUUUGAAAAGAGAGUUAAAAGUGCCUGAAAUUGCUGAAAGGGAAGCGAAUGGAACCAGCGUAACUUGGCGAGAUUGCUGCGUGUCAAUGUGAUUGCUUGCUGCUUCAACGUAAGUGUUGUAGUAAGUCUUGAACAGGACAUGCGCGGUGCUUCUUGCCUUGUGUGUCACCGUCAAUUCGCAACUGGGGAAAACUUCAGGGACAUGGUAGCCUGUCUCCGGGUGGGUGAACGUGUUUGCUGGAACUCAUUUGCGGAUUGCUUGGUGACYAAA
This 646-nucleotide ribosomal RNA is filed under the name Scrippsiella cf. acuminata. Its description in RNAcentral is "LSU rRNA". It matches the Rfam family "Eukaryotic large subunit ribosomal RNA", at positions 1 to 508 of the family's 3401-position model. The record is from RNAcentral. Lineage: Eukaryota; Dinophyceae; Peridiniales; Peridiniaceae.